This 460-nucleotide ribosomal RNA is filed under the name uncultured marine microorganism. RNAcentral's name for it is "bacterial SSU rRNA". It matches the Rfam family "Bacterial small subunit ribosomal RNA", at positions 355 to 830 of the family's 1533-position model. The record is from RNAcentral.
UGGGGAANUUUCCGCAAUGGGCGAAAGCCUGACGGAGCAAUACCGCGUGAGGGAGGAAUGCCUUUGGGUUGUAAACCUCUUUUCUCAGGGAAGAAGAUCUGACGGUACCUGAGGAAUAAGUAUCGGCUAACUCCGUGCCAGCAGCCGCGGUAAUACGGAGGAUGCAAGCGCUAUCCGGAAUCAUUGGGCGUAAAGCGUCCGCAGGUGGUUUCCAAAGUCUGCUGUUAAAGACUGGAGCUCAACUCCGGAACGGCGGUGGAAACUUGGAAACUAGAGUUCGGUAGGGGUAGCAGGAAUUCCCAGUGUAGCGGUGAAAUGCGUAGAUAUUGGGAAGAACAUCGGUGGCGAAGGCGUGCUACUGGACCGUAACUGACACUCAGGGACGAAAGCUAGGGGAGCGAAAGGGAUUAGAUACCCCUGUAGUCCUAGCUGUAAACGAUGGAAACUAGGUGUGGCUUGA